GCAAGUCGAACGGCAGCAUCAGAAAGCUUGCUUUCUGGAUGGCGAGUGGCGGACGGGUGAGUAACGCGUAGGAAUCUACCUUAGAGCGGGGGAUAACUCGAGGAAACUCGAGCUAAUACCGCAUGUGCCUUACGGGGUAAAGAGGGCCUCUUCUUGAAAGCUCUCACUCUAAGAUGAGCCUGCGUCAGAUUAGUUUGUUGGUGGGGUAAUGGCCUACCAAGACUACGAUCUGUAGCUGGUCUGAGAGGACGAUC
This 254-nucleotide ribosomal RNA is filed under the name uncultured bacterium. Its description in RNAcentral is "partial 16S ribosomal RNA". It matches the Rfam family "Bacterial small subunit ribosomal RNA", at positions 57 to 305 of the family's 1533-position model. The record is from RNAcentral.